CCUACGGGAGGCUGCAGUGGGGAAUAUUGCACAAUGGGCGCAAGCCUGAUGCAGCCAUGCCGCGUGUGUGAAGAAGGCCUUCGGGUUGUAAAGCACUUUCAGCGGGGAGGAAGGCGGUGAGGUUAAUAACCUCAUCGAUUGACGUUACCCGCAGAAGAAGCACCGGCUAACUCCGUGCCAGCAGCCGCAGUAAUACGGAGGGUGCAAGCGUUAAUCGGAAUUACUGGGCGUAAAGCGCACGCAGGCGGUCUGUCAAGUCGGAUGUGAAAUCCCCGGGCUCAACCUGGGAACUGCAUUCGAAACUGGCAGGCUAGAGUCUUGUAGAGGGGGGUAGAAUUCCAGGUGUAGCGGUGAAAUGCGUAGAGAUCUGGAGAAAUACCGGUGGCGAAGGCGGCCCCCUGGACAAAGACUGACGCUCAGGUGCGAAAGCGUGGGGAGCAAACAGGAUUAGAUACCCGUGUAGUC
This 465-nucleotide ribosomal RNA is filed under the name uncultured Klebsiella sp. Its description in RNAcentral is "bacterial SSU rRNA". It matches the Rfam family "Bacterial small subunit ribosomal RNA", at positions 338 to 795 of the family's 1533-position model. Lineage: Bacteria; Pseudomonadati; Pseudomonadota; Gammaproteobacteria; Enterobacterales; Enterobacteriaceae. The record is from RNAcentral.